RNAcentral lists this ribosomal RNA (262 nucleotides) under uncultured bacterium. RNAcentral's name for it is "partial 16S ribosomal RNA". It matches the Rfam family "Bacterial small subunit ribosomal RNA", at positions 793 to 1055 of the family's 1533-position model. The record is from RNAcentral.
GUCCACGCCCUAAACGAUGUCAACUGGUUGUUGGGGAUUUAUUCUCUUAGUAACGAAGCUAACGCGUGAAGUUGACCGCCUGGGGAGUACGGUCGCAAGAUUAAAACUCAAAGGAAUUGACGGGGCCCGCACAAGCGGUGGAUGAUGUGGAUUAAUUCGAUGCAACGCGAAAACCUUACCUACGCUUGACAUGUCCGAAAGCCUGAAGAGAUUUAGGUGUGCUCGAAAGAGAAUCGGAACACAGGUGCUGCAUGGCUGUCGU